AACGGCUUUUGGNUGGGACGAUGAUGACGGUACCACCCGAAUAAGCCCCGGCUAACUCCGUGCCAGCAGCCGCGGUAAAACGGAGGGGGCAAGCGUUGUCCGGACUCANUGGGCGUAAAGGGUGCGCAGGCGGUGCCGUGCGUCGGCGCUGAAAGCGCCCGGCUUAACCGGGCGAGGUGCGGCGAUACNACGGCACUUGAGGCAGGUAGAGGUUGGCGGAAUUCCGGGUGUAGUGGUGAAAUGCGUAUAGAUCCGGAGGAACGUCGGUGGCGUAAGCGGCCAACUGGGCCUGUCCUGACGCUGAGGCACGAAAGCGUGGGGAGCGAACCGGAUUAGAUACCCGGGUAGUCCACGCCGUAAACGCUGUCGGCUCGGUGUGUGGUCUCAUUACNGGACUGCGUGCCCCAGCUCACGCGGUAAGCCGACCGCCUGGGGACUACGGCCGCAAGGCUAAAACUCAAAGGAAUUGACGGGGGCCCGCACAAGCAGCGGAGCGUGUGGUUUAAUUCGACGCAACGCGAAGAACCUUACCCAGAUUUGACAUGCGACUGCAAGCGCACGGAAACGUGUGACCUGCGAGGGUGUCGCACAGGUGCUGCAUGGCUGUCGUCAGCUCGUGUCGUUAGAUGUUGGGUUAAGUCCCGCANCGAGCGCAACCCCCNCSGUCAGUUAUACGUGUCUGGCGGGACNGCCGGCUGUUUGGUCGGAGAAAGGCGGGGAUGACGUCAAGUCCGCAUGGCCCGUACGUCUGGGGCGACACACACGCUACAAUGGCCGGCACAGCACGCCGCAAACCCGCAAGGGGGAGCUAAUCGCCAACGCCGGUCCCAGUGCASAUCGGGGGCUGCAACU
This 852-nucleotide ribosomal RNA is filed under the name uncultured Chloroflexales bacterium. Its description in RNAcentral is "bacterial SSU rRNA". It matches the Rfam family "Bacterial small subunit ribosomal RNA", at positions 428 to 1312 of the family's 1533-position model. Lineage: Bacteria; Bacillati; Chloroflexota; Chloroflexia; Chloroflexales. The record is from RNAcentral.